UACGAAGGUCCCAAGCGUUAUCCGGAUUUAUUGGGUUUAAAGGGUGCGUAGGCGGGUUAUUAAGUCAGUGGUGAAAGCCUUCAGCUUAACUGAAGAAUUGCCAUUGAUACUGAUGAUCUUGAGUAUGAUUGAGGUGGGCGGAAUGUGUCAUGUAGCGGUGAAAUGCUUAGAUAUGACACAGAACACCGAUUGCGAAGGCAGCUCACUAGGCUGUAACUGACGCUGAGGCACGAAAGUGUGGGGAUCAAACAGG
This 253-nucleotide ribosomal RNA is filed under the name uncultured bacterium. RNAcentral's name for it is "partial 16S ribosomal RNA". It matches the Rfam family "Bacterial small subunit ribosomal RNA", at positions 524 to 776 of the family's 1533-position model. The record is from RNAcentral.